CACAAUAAUUACUUCAUCCAUUUUUAUUUGAUGAUGUUUUAAGUUAGAAUAGAUGCGUUGAAUUUCAUAAAUUUGAUCCAUUAUAGAUCUAAAAUCCACCAUCUUAUAAUCAUUAAAGUCCUGAACUUAAAGACUAUAAUUCAUAAACUAUUUUAAAAUUAAUAUGUAAACUAUUUUUGUUACAAUGGUUAGCUGUACCAAAGUAUAGCUAGAGUAUCAUCCAACAUCUUUGCAGGUUUGGUAAGUAAAUUAACUAAAAUGAUUACUCUUUAUUCAGAAAUGAAAGCAAAACUGCCAUUCUCGCCUCCUAUCUUUGAUCAUCUUUGGUGGCUCUCAGCCUUGCCGUCAAGUGCCGUCAAAUUCCCAUCGAAUGUAACCGAGCAAUUUGUUAAUUUGGUAAGUAAAUUUAUUAUCAAUUUUUUCACGCCUCCUGUCAAUCUUUUCAUGCCUCCUGUUUCUCAUAUGGUUUCUUGGAAGAUUGGAGGUGGAAGCCAAGAGUUGUAGAGAUGCGUUUCUUAUACUUUUUGAUUCUCAGAUUUGAGAUUUUGAGGAAUUGUUGGAAAGGAACCCAUCUCUACUGAAUGGAUUGAUGAAAAGAAAAUCUUGUAUCUAAAGUCUAAUGAAAUUUCAUUUCUAGACCAAGUUUACGGCUCAAUGGAUAGUAAAGCAUCCUUCACACAUGAUAUCAUCCAAGCAGAAUACAUUUCGUGCAGCUGAUUAGGUUACACUUUAUUUUAUACUUUUUCAAUAUAUUUUUUCUCCUUUAUUGGAUUUAUGAUUUCUAAAAUAAUGCAUAAUGCACAAGCCUAUCCUCAAUGUAUGUUAUAUAUAUAAACCUCUCUCCUUCCUUUGAAAUGUGCAUCUUUUUAGUGCAUUGUACAGUACAAAUAAUAAGGUACUAAAACCUUUUAUUGAGAUCA
Molecule: long non-coding RNA, 920 nt
Organism: Amaranthus tricolor (Joseph's coat)
Lineage: Eukaryota; Viridiplantae; Streptophyta; Magnoliopsida; Caryophyllales; Amaranthaceae
Exons: 2
Source: RefSeq, a predicted model, not a curated record